AUACAGUGCAUCAGAAGGGACAGUACACACCAUCUUUCAUUCCCACCAUUCUUUGUGAAGAGGAAUCCAAAUGUUCUUUGGCCUGAUCGAGUUCUUAUGGGUGCCUUGAGCCAUCCUAGGAGGCAUCCCAAGUAACAACAUUAAGAACGUAUAAAUGUUUGAACUGUGCAGACUUCUUGUUGUGAGAAAAAAAGCCUGCAGCCAAUGAGAUAGAAAUGGAGAGAAGGGCAAUAGCAGCUUGCACAUGUCAAGGAUCUGCAGCGCAUGAAACCCCUUAAACUGAAGAUGAUGUUCCUGAAGCCUAGAGAUGUCAGCACUCGCAGUCAGCCGCUUUAUCAUCCAUUGCUCCAUUAACCUCAUCCACCUGGUCAACACAAUUCAAACAUACCAGAUACAGACUCAGUUAAAACAGAUAUGGGUGCAAGUCAUGACACUUUUACAGAUUAAAGAUGUCCGAGAUUCACGAUGAAUGCUGUUUGAAGAAGAAUGAACAGAAUCACAUUUUAAUUUAAUCUCACUGCCAAUGUGGACUUAAAGAGGACGGGCUCUGUUAUGACAACUGUAUUUUUAAGUAACAGAGAUAAGGGUGUUAUUGGAAUCAUUUCAAUAAAAUA
Molecule: long non-coding RNA, 614 nt
Organism: Mya arenaria
Lineage: Eukaryota; Metazoa; Mollusca; Bivalvia; Myida; Myidae
Exons: 6
Source: RefSeq, a predicted model, not a curated record